UACGGAGGGUGCGAGCGUUGUCCGGAAUCAUUGGGCGUAAAGGGCGCGUAGGUGGCCCGGUCAGCGUGCGGUGAAAGCUCGGGGCUCAACCCCGAGUCGGCCGUGCGAACUGCUGGGCUCGAGCACUGUAGAGGCAGGCGGAAUUCCGGGUGUAGCGGUGGAAUGCGUAGAGAUCCGGAAGAACACCGGUGGCGAAGGCGGCCUGCUGGGCAGUGGCUGACACUGAGGCGCGACAGCGUGGGGAGCGAACAGG
RNAcentral lists this ribosomal RNA (253 nucleotides) under uncultured bacterium. RNAcentral describes it as "partial 16S ribosomal RNA". It matches the Rfam family "Bacterial small subunit ribosomal RNA", at positions 524 to 776 of the family's 1533-position model. The record is from RNAcentral.